This 463-nucleotide ribosomal RNA is filed under the name uncultured bacterium. Its description in RNAcentral is "bacterial SSU rRNA". It matches the Rfam family "Bacterial small subunit ribosomal RNA", at positions 346 to 793 of the family's 1533-position model. The record is from RNAcentral.
AGGCAGCAUGGGGGAAUAUUGCACAAUGGGGGAAACCCUGAUGCAGCCGAUGCCGCGUAGUGUGAAGAAGGCCUUCGGGUUGUAAAGCACUUUCAGUAGGGAGGAAGGUAGUGUAGUUAACACCUGCAUUAUUUUGACGUUACCUACAGAAGAAGCACCGGCUAACUCCGUGCCCAGCAGCCGCGGUAAUACGGAGGGUGCGAGCGUUAAUCGGAAUUACUGGGCGUAAAGCGCAUGCAGGCGGCCUGUUAAGUCAGGAUAGUGGAAAGCCCGGGGCUUAACCUCGGAAUUGCAUUUGAAACUGGCAGGCUAGAGUCUUGUAGAGGGGGGUAGAAUUUCAGGUGUAGCGGUGAAAAUGCGUAGAGAUCUGAAGGAAUACCAGUGGCGAAGGCGGCCCCCUGGACAAAGACUGACGCUCAGAUGCGAAAGCGUGGGGAGCAAACAGGAUUAGAUACCCUGGUAG